GAAAGAGAUAUAAAGCUGCUAUUAAAUAUUGGAAAAGCCAGAAAAAUACUCUGCCAUCCAGGUUGCAGUGCGAUGGUGUGAUCAAUGCUCAUAGUAGCUUCAAACUCCCAGGAUCAAGUGAUCCUCCUAAAUAAACCUCCUGAGUAGCUGGGACUACAGCUUCCACCAUGGGAUGAUACAGCAUGAAGGCCCUCACCAGAUAUGCGCCCCUUGAUUUUGGACUUCCCGGACUCCAGAACUAUCUCUGUGACUACUCUGUGAAUUGGUCUGUACAGGCCCACUUGAGUACAGAUGAGCCAUUUCAGCUAAGCCUACAAGAAACUUCCAGCUAAACCUAGCCCAAAUUGCCAACUUGCAGAAUUGUAAGCUAAAUAAAUGACUGUAAGCCGU
This 390-nucleotide long non-coding RNA is filed under the name Pan troglodytes (chimpanzee). RNAcentral describes it as "long non-coding RNA NONPTRT017823". Lineage: Eukaryota; Metazoa; Chordata; Mammalia; Primates; Hominidae. The record is from RNAcentral.